AAAGCGUGCGCAGGCGGUUUUGUAAGUCUGUCGUGAAAGCCCCGGGCUUAACCUGGGAAUUGCGAUGGAGACUGCAAGGCUUGAAUCUGGCAGAGGGGGGUAGAAUUCCACGUGUAGCAGUGAAAUGCGUAGAGAUGUGGAGGAACACCGAUGGCGAAGGCAGCCCCCUGGGUCAAGAUUGACGCUCAUGCACGAAAGCGUGGGGAGCAAACAGGAUUAGAUACCCUAGU
This 230-nucleotide ribosomal RNA is filed under the name uncultured bacterium. RNAcentral describes it as "partial 16S ribosomal RNA". It matches the Rfam family "Bacterial small subunit ribosomal RNA", at positions 562 to 791 of the family's 1533-position model. The record is from RNAcentral.